AAAGGAAUAGACGGGGGCCCGCACAAGCGGUGGAGCAUGUGGUUUAAUUCGUCAUUAACCGAAGAACCUUACCAGGGUUUGACAUCUGGGGAAUCCUGAUGAAAGUCGGGAGUGCCUCGCAAGAGGAGCCUCAAGACAGGUGUUGCAUGGCUGUCGUCAGCUCGUGUCGUGAGAUGUUGGGUUAAGUCCCGCAACGAGCGCAACCCUCAUCCGAUGUUGCCAGCGUCAAGUCGGGAACUCUUCGGAAACUGCCCGUGUAAGCGGGAGGAAGGUGGGGAUGACGUCAAGUCGGCAUGGCCCUUACGCCCUGGGCUACACACAUGCUACAAUGGACGUGAACAAAGGGGAGCGAUACCGCGAGGUGGAGCAAAUCCCAAAAAUACGUUCUCAGUUCGGAUUGCAGUCUGCAACUCGACUGCAUGAAGUCGGAAUCGCUAGUAACCGCAGGUCAGCUAUACUGUGGUGAAUACGUUCCCGGGCCUUGUACACACCGCCCGU
RNAcentral lists this ribosomal RNA (498 nucleotides) under uncultured bacterium. RNAcentral describes it as "bacterial SSU rRNA". It matches the Rfam family "Bacterial small subunit ribosomal RNA", at positions 903 to 1397 of the family's 1533-position model. The record is from RNAcentral.